Molecule: small RNA, 81 nt
Filed under: Sinorhizobium meliloti 2011
Lineage: Bacteria; Pseudomonadati; Pseudomonadota; Alphaproteobacteria; Hyphomicrobiales; Rhizobiaceae
Description: putative ncRNA
Source: RNAcentral
GGAGGCCGCGGCGGAAUCGUGCCGUUUCAGGGCUUCGACGACCGGGUAGUGAUGGUCGAUCAUCGCUCGUCCUCCCUCGAU